AUACGGGAGGCAGCAGUAGGGAAUAUUGGUCAAUGGAUGCAAGUCUGAACCAGCCAUGCCGCGUGCAGGAAGAAGGCCUUCUGGGUUGUAAACUGCUUUUGCCAGGGGAUAAAAUGACCUUGCGAGGUUAAUUGAAGGUACCUGGUGAAUAAGCCACGGCUAACUACGUGCCAGCAGCCGCGGUAAUACGUAGGUGGCAAGCGUUGUCCGGAUUUAUUGGGUUUAAAGGGUGCGUAGGCGGCCUUGUAAGUCAGUGGUGAAAUAUCUCAGCUUAACUGAGAGGGUGCCAUUGAUACUGCAGGGCUUGAGUACAGAUGAGGUAGGCGGAAUUGACGGUGUAGCGGUGAAAUGCAUAGAUAUCGUCAAGAACUCCGAUAGCGAAGGCAGCUUACUAAGCUGUAACUGACGCUGAGGCACGAAAGUGUGGGGAUCAAACAGGAUUAGAUACCCCGGUAGUCC
This 459-nucleotide ribosomal RNA is filed under the name uncultured bacterium. RNAcentral describes it as "bacterial SSU rRNA". It matches the Rfam family "Bacterial small subunit ribosomal RNA", at positions 339 to 796 of the family's 1533-position model. The record is from RNAcentral.